Molecule: ribosomal RNA, 690 nt
Filed under: uncultured Bacteroides sp.
Lineage: Bacteria; Pseudomonadati; Bacteroidota; Bacteroidia; Bacteroidales; Bacteroidaceae
Description: bacterial SSU rRNA
Rfam family: Bacterial small subunit ribosomal RNA
Source: RNAcentral
AACGCUAGCUACAGGCUUAACACAUGCAAGUCGAGGGGCAGCGCAGUGUAGCAAUACAUGGGCGGCGACCGGCGCACGGGUGCGUAACGCGUAUCCAACCUUCCCGUUACUCAGGGAUAGCCUUCCGAAAGGGAGAUUAAUACCUGAUGGUGUUCAAAUUCCGCAUGUUAUUUGAACUAAAGAUUUAUCGGUAACGGAUGGGGAUGCGUGACAUUAGAUAGUAGGCGGGGUAACGGCCCACCUAGUCUACGAUGUCUAGGGGUUCUGAGAGGAAGGUCCCCCACACUGGAACUGAGACACGGUUCAGACUCCUACGGGAGGCAGCAGUGAGGAAUAUUGGUCAAUGGUCGGAAGACUGAACCAGCCAAGUAGCGUGAAGGAUGAAGGUUCUAUGGAUUGUAAACUUCUUUUAUACGGGAAUAAAACCUCCCACGCGUGGGAGCUUGUAUGUACCGUAUGAAUAAGCAUCGGCUAACUCCGUGCCAGCAGCCGCGGUAAUACGGAGGAUGCGAGCGUUAUCCGGAUUUAUUGGGUUUAAAGGGAGCGUAGACGGGAGAUUAAGUCAGUUGUGAAAGGCUGCGGCUCAACCGCAGCACUGCAGUUGAUACUGGUUUCCUUGAGUUCGGUUGAGGUGUAUGGAAUUCGUGGUGUAGCGGUGAAAUGCUUAGAUAUCACGAAGAACUCCGAUUG